RNAcentral lists this ribosomal RNA (117 nucleotides) under uncultured bacterium. RNAcentral's name for it is "partial 16S ribosomal RNA". It matches the Rfam family "Bacterial small subunit ribosomal RNA", at positions 1384 to 1500 of the family's 1533-position model. The record is from RNAcentral.
UACACACCGCCCGUCACACCAUGGGAGUCGGUAACGCCCGAAGUCAGUGACCCAACCGUAAGGAGGGAGCUGCCGAAGGCGGGACUGGUAACUGGGGUGAAGUCGUAACAAGGUAGC